RNAcentral lists this ribosomal RNA (502 nucleotides) under uncultured bacterium. Its description in RNAcentral is "bacterial SSU rRNA". It matches the Rfam family "Bacterial small subunit ribosomal RNA", at positions 30 to 514 of the family's 1533-position model. The record is from RNAcentral.
AUUGAACGCUGGCGGCAUGCCUAACACAUGCAAGUCGAACGGCAGCACAGAUAUAGUUUACUAUAUUGGGUGGCGAGUGGCGGACGGGUGAGUAACGCGUGGGUAUAUAACCUAAAGACGGGGACAACUUGCGGAAACGCGAGCUAAUACCGGAUAAGCUCUGAGGAGAAAAGCUGGGGAUCUGGCGACAGACCUGGCGCUUUAGGAGUAACCUGCGUCCAAUUAGCUAGUUGGUAGGGUAAAGGCCUACCAAGGCGACGAUUGGUAGCUGGUCUGAGAGGACGGACAGCCACACUGGGACUGAGACACGGCCCAGACUCCUACGGGAGGCAGCAGUGGGGAAUAUUGGACAAUGGGGGGAACCCUGAUCCAGCAAUGCCGCGUGUGUGAAGAAGGCCUGCGGGUUGUAAAGCACUUUAGUUAGGGAGGAGUGUUUGAAGGUUAAGAGCUAUCAAGCAGGACGUUACCUAAAGAAUAAGCACGGCUAACUCCGUGCCAGCAG